Molecule: ribosomal RNA, 62 nt
Filed under: uncultured organism
Description: partial 16S ribosomal RNA
Source: RNAcentral
UGGGCUUGACGUGUCCGGAAUCCUGCAGAGAUGCGGGAGUGCCCUUCGGGGAAUCGGAACAC